GUCUACGGCCAUACCACCCUGAA
RNAcentral lists this non-coding RNA (23 nucleotides) under Xenopus tropicalis (tropical clawed frog). Lineage: Eukaryota; Metazoa; Chordata; Amphibia; Anura; Pipidae. The record is from RNAcentral. RNAcentral also lists the same sequence under 3 other names.